AUUGAACGCUGGCGGCAGGCCUAACACAUGCAAGUCGAGCGGAUGAAGGGAGCUUGCUCCUGGAUUCAGCGGCGGACGGGUGAGUAAUGCCUAGGAAUCUGCCUGGUAGUGGGGGAUAACGUCCGGAAACGGGCGCUAAUACCGCAUACGUCCUGAGGGAGAAGGUGGGGGAUCUUCGGACCUCACGCUAUCAGAUGAGCCUAGGUCGGAUUAGCUAGUUGGUGGGGUAAAGGCCUACCAAGGCGACGAUCCGUAACUGGUCUGAGAGGAUGAUCAGUCACACUGGAAAUGAGACACGGGCCAGAGACCUACGGGAGGCAGCAGUGUGGAAUAUUGGAGAAUGGGGGAAAACGUGAGACAGAGAUGCGGCGUGUGUGAAGAAGGUCUUCGGAUUGUAAAGCACUUUAAGUUGGGAGGAAGGGCAGUAAGUUAAUACCUUGCUGUUUUGACGUUACCAACAGAAUAAGCACCGGCUAACUUCGUG
This 484-nucleotide ribosomal RNA is filed under the name uncultured bacterium. Its description in RNAcentral is "partial 16S ribosomal RNA". It matches the Rfam family "Bacterial small subunit ribosomal RNA", at positions 30 to 507 of the family's 1533-position model. The record is from RNAcentral.